CCUACGGGAGGCAGCAGUGAGGAAUAUUGGUCAAUGGACGAGAGUCUGAACCAGCCAAGUAGCGUGAAGGAUGACUGCCCUAUGGGUUGUAAACUUCUUUUAUAAAGGAAUAAAACGAGGCACGUGUGCCUUUUUGCAUGUACUUUAUGAAUAAGGAUCGGCUAACUCCGUGCCAGCAGCCGCGGUAAUACGGAGGAUCCGAGCGUUAUCCGGAUUUAUUGGGUUUAAAGGGAGCGUAGAUGGGUUGUUAAGUCAGUUGUGAAAGUUUGCGGCUCAACCGUAAAAUUGCAAUUGAUACUGGCAGUCUAGAGUACAGUUGAGGUAAGCGGAAUUCGUGGUGUAGCGGUGAAAUGCUUAGAUAUCACGAAGAACCCCGAUUGCGAAGGCAGCUUACUAAACUGUGACUGACAUUGAUGCUCGAAAGUGUGGGUAUCAAACAGGAUUAGAUACCCGUGUAGUC
Molecule: ribosomal RNA, 460 nt
Filed under: uncultured bacterium
Lineage: Bacteria
Description: partial 16S ribosomal RNA
Rfam family: Bacterial small subunit ribosomal RNA
Source: RNAcentral